RNAcentral lists this ribosomal RNA (569 nucleotides) under uncultured bacterium. Its description in RNAcentral is "partial 16S ribosomal RNA". It matches the Rfam family "Bacterial small subunit ribosomal RNA", at positions 355 to 914 of the family's 1533-position model. The record is from RNAcentral.
UGGGGAAUCUUCCGCAAUGGACGAAAGUCUGACGGAGCAACGCCGCGUGAGUGAAGAAGGUUUUCGGAUCGUAAAACUCUGUCUUUUGGGGCGAACGUGAGUAUGGUGAACAAUCAUAGUCAGUGACGGUACCAAAGGAGGAAGCCACGGCUAACUACGUGCCAGCAGCCGCGGUAAUACGUAGGUGGCAAGCGUUGUCCGGAAUUAUUGGGCGUAAAGAGCGCGUAGGCGGGAUAGUCAGUCUGUUGUAAAGUGCGGGGCUCAACCCCGUGAUGGCAAUGGAAACAGCUAUUCUUGAGUGCAGGAGAGGAAAGUGGAAUUCCCAGUGUAGCGGUGAAAUGCGUAGAUAUUGGGAGGAGCACCAGUGGCGAAGGCGACUUUCUGGACUGUGUCUGACGCUGAGGCGCGAAAGCCAGGGGAGCGAACGGGAUUAGAUACCCCCGGUAGUCCUGGCCGUAAACGAUGGGUACUAGGUGUGGGAGGUAUCGACCCCUUCCGUGCCGGAGUUAACGCAAUAAGUACCCCGCCUGGGGAGUACGGUCGCAAGACUGAAACUCAAAGGAAUUGAC